This 432-nucleotide ribosomal RNA is filed under the name uncultured bacterium. RNAcentral describes it as "bacterial SSU rRNA". It matches the Rfam family "Bacterial small subunit ribosomal RNA", at positions 335 to 759 of the family's 1533-position model. The record is from RNAcentral.
ACUCCUACGGGAGGCAGCAGUAGGGAAUCUUCCACAAUGGACGAAAGUCUGAUGGAGCAACGCCGCGUGAGUGAAGAAGGGUUUCGGCUCGUAAAACUCUGUUGUUAAAGAAGAACAUAUCUGAGAGUAACUGUUCAGGUAUUGACGGUAUUUAACCAGAAAGCCACGGCUAACUACGUGCCAGCAGCCGCGGUAAUACGUAGGUGGCAAGCGUUGUCCGGAUUUAUUGGGGCGUAAAGCGAGCGCAGGCGGUUUUUAAGUCUGAUGUGAAAGCCUUCGGCUCAACCGAAGAAGUGCAUCGGAAACUGGGAAACUUGAGUGCAGAAGAGGACAGUGGAACUCCAUGUGUAGCGGUGAAAUGCGUAGAUAUAUGGAAGAACACCAGUGGCGAAGGCGGCUGUCUGGUCUGUAACUGACGCUGAGGCUCGAAAG